This 403-nucleotide ribosomal RNA is filed under the name uncultured eukaryote. RNAcentral's name for it is "SSU rRNA". It matches the Rfam family "Eukaryotic small subunit ribosomal RNA", at positions 567 to 972 of the family's 1831-position model. The record is from RNAcentral.
CCAGCAGCCGCGGUAAUUCCAGCUCCAAUAGCGUAUAUUAAAGUUGUUGCAGUUAAAAAGCUCGUAGUUGGAUUUCUGGCAGGAGCGACCGGUCUCACACUCUGUGUGAGAACUCGUGUUGUCUCUGGCCAUCCUUGGGGAGAUCCUGUUUGGCAUUAAGUUGUCGGGCAGGGGAUACCCAUCGUUUACUGUGAAAAAAUUAGAGUGUUUAAAGCAGGCUUAUGCCGUUGAAUAUAUUAGCAUGGAAUAAUAAGAUAGGACUUGGGUGCUAUUUUGUUGGUUGCGCACUUAGGUAAUGAUUAAUAGGGACAGUUGGGGGUAUUCAUAUUUGAUUGUCAGAGGUGAAAUUCUUGGAUUUAUCGAAGAUGAACAACUGCGAAAGCAUUUACCAAGGAUGUUUUCA